This is a long non-coding RNA of Saccostrea echinata, 273 nucleotides long. RefSeq lists it as uncharacterized. The transcript has 3 exons. The record is from RefSeq and is a predicted model, not a curated record. Lineage: Eukaryota; Metazoa; Mollusca; Bivalvia; Ostreida; Ostreidae.
AUUUUUUAGAACGUUUAUAUUUUAUGCUCAUCUUUACGUUUACAGGAUUUGGUCAAGAAAUAUGCGAUAGUAACACGGGUCCGGUGUGCUGCGAUGGCUAUUACAGGGAUCAAAACACAGGGAACUGUACCAGUUGCAAACCAGGAUAUUUCGAUUUUAAUUGUUCCAAAAGGUGUGGAUAUCCUACAUACGGUGAAAAAUGUCAGGAAAUAUGCAGCUGUAGUAAAACGUUUUGUGAUUUUGCCUUUGGAUGUCGAUUGAACACAGACAAGU